This 497-nucleotide ribosomal RNA is filed under the name uncultured bacterium. Its description in RNAcentral is "partial 16S ribosomal RNA". It matches the Rfam family "Bacterial small subunit ribosomal RNA", at positions 28 to 507 of the family's 1533-position model. The record is from RNAcentral.
GAUGAACGCUGGCGGCGUGCCUAAUACAUGCAAGUCGAGCGAACAGAUGAGGAGCUUGCUCCUCUGACGUUAGCGGCGGACGGGUGAGUAACACGUGGAUAACCUACCUAUAAGACUGGGAUAACUUCGGGAAACCGGAGCUAAUACCGGAUAAUAUAUUGAACCGCAUGGUUCAAUAGUGAAAGACGGUUUUGCUGUCACUUAUAGAUGGAUCCGCGCCGCAUUAGCUAGUUGGUAAGGUAACGGCUUACCAAGGCAACGAUGCGUAGCCGACCUGAGAGGGUGAUCGGCCACACUAGAACUGAGACACGGUCCAGACUCCUACGGGAGGCAGCAGUAGGGAAUCUUCCGCAAUGGGCGAAAGCUUGACGGAGCAACGCCGCGUGAGUGAUGAAGGUCUUCGGAUCGUAAAACUCUGUUAUUAGGGAAGAACAAAUGUGUAAGUAACUAUGCACGUCUUGACGGUACCUAAUCAGAAAGCCACGGCUAACUACGUG